GUCUCCCCAGAAGCGUGUGAGAGCGUUGGAGACUUGGAUUCAUACUGACCUGGUUCUUCCUCGGAUCACAUCUCUGUGCUCUCCUGGUGAAAAGCUGUCUACGGGGCAAGGAAGAAAAUCUAAGAGGUUGUGUUCAAGACGUGGAUAUGACGUACAGUAAAACCUAAUGGAAACAUGAUGCUAGGCAUAGGCAAAGAAAGAACACAAAAUAACAAGAUUGGAUUGACCAUUAUCCAUCAGAAAGUUGUCUGGCAUGAUGCUUCUGCUGCCUUUCAUGUCUCUCUAAUUUUCUUCUGUCUUAACAAAUAAAAAUGGGUAUAAUAA
Molecule: long non-coding RNA, 324 nt
Organism: Aquila chrysaetos chrysaetos
Lineage: Eukaryota; Metazoa; Chordata; Aves; Accipitriformes; Accipitridae
Exons: 2
Source: RefSeq, a predicted model, not a curated record